Molecule: non-coding RNA, 83 nt
Organism: Termitomyces sp. T32_za158
Lineage: Eukaryota; Fungi; Basidiomycota; Agaricomycetes; Agaricales; Lyophyllaceae
Source: the annotation of a GenBank genome assembly
GGGCACAUGGUGUAGUUGGUUAUCACGCCCGCUUAGCAUUCCGCAUCUGCGGGCGGUCCCCGGUUCAAUUCCGGGUGUGUCCA